AUGUCUAUUCCAGUCAGCAUGAGCUUAUCCGCUGUUGGGGUUGUUGGUGCCGUCAACGAAUGUGUCACUUUGUUUCAAUGGGCCAAAUCUGCCAUUCCCUCUCUUUACUCCCGAUGGAGUGGCUCACAGGAGCAAAUUCUCCAGGACCAUGUGUUGCAGUUGGAGAGUGGCCUACAACGCCUCAGGGAUACCCUUCCUGCAAUGUACGACCUCGUUAAUAAAGCAGAGUGGAGAAGCCACGAACAUGUUGUGGCCAAGCUCCUUCCUAAUCUCAAGGAUGCAGUGGCUGAGGCCGAGGACCUUCUUGAUGAGUUUGGAUGGUACGAGAAGAAGGUACAAGUGGAGGGCAAUGCAAGCCAAUCUUCUUUCAUUGACUUCUUUCAUACCGCCGUACAAGGUAGCCUCAACAAACUGAAUGAUGUCCAACUGAGGUUGAACCAUCUUUCAAGUCAGCUGGAGAAUAUGGGGCUCCGUGGAGUUACACGAUGCUUUGACAAAUUAGUCAGACCAGAGACCACAUCUUUGCCAAAUGAAACAAAAAUGUUUGGUCGUGACAAGGAACUAAAGCGGCUACUGGGAUUUCUCAAUGUACCGACAAUUUCAAAACGCAAGAGAACAACUAGUUCAGUCAAUGCAUCCGCAAGCUCAUCAUCAAGCAAUCAUGUUGGUAGUGAAUCGGGAAUAUUGGGUCUUCAUGUUUUGCCAAUUGUUGGAAUUGGUGGUGUUGGGAAGACUACUUUGGCCCAACAUAUUUGUAGUCAUCAACGAGUGAAAUCUCACUUUGAGAUGAUAAUUUGGAUUUGUGUCUCGGAUGACUUUGAUGUGAAGGGGUUAACUAAAGAGGUGAUACAAUCAUGUACUAGAAAUGGGGCAACAACUGAUAAUUUGGAUUCUCUUCAGUGUGAUCUCUCUAACCAUGUGAGCAAUAAAAGGCUAUUGAUAGUCCUCGAUGACAUGUGGGAUGAUGCCUUGAAGGAAAAUGGGCAGUGUUGGAAGAGGUUUUGUGCACCUUUUAGAAGUGCCCAACAUGGAAGUGUGAUGUUGGUCACGACUAGAUGUCCAAAUGUUACCGAGGGGGUGCGCACAAUGGAGCCCGUUAUAGUUGAAGGUCUGAAGGACGACGUCUUUUGGAAUUUCUUCAAAUUGUGUGCGUUUGGAUCUGAGGGUUCUAAUAACGAUCCUGAGUUAGAGAGCAUUGGUAGAAGUAUACUUGCUAAACUAAAGGGUUCACCUCUGGCCGCCAAAACUCUAGGACGCAUGUUAAGCAUGGACCUUCAAGCAUCACAUUGGAAUUCUAUACUCGAGAGUGAACUGUGGGAGUUGAAACAAGAGGAGACUGACAUUUUGCCUGCACUUCGGUUGAGCUACAUGUACUUACCACUCUACCUGAAGCAAUGCUUUGCAUUUUGUGCUGUGUACCCUAAAGAUUACAGAUUUCAUAAGGCACGCUUAGCUGAAAUUUGGGUGGCAGAAGGUUUUGUGGAUCCUCAGUGUGGUGUUCCAAUUCAAGAUAUUGGUUGCCAGUAUUUUGAAGACCUUGUAAAACGAUCCUUCUUUCAAAUAAUUAGUAGUAGAUAUGUAAUCCAUGACUUGCUACACGACAUGGCACAAAUGGUUUCAAAGCAGGACUGCUGCAUCUUAAGAAAUAGGAGUGACUUGGAUAAAGUUCCCCAGAAUGUUCGUCAUCUCUACGUACUCCCUAGCAGUGAGUUUGAUGAUUCCAGCUUGUUAAAGCUAUGCAAUUACACAAAGUUGCGUACCCUAAUUUGCAAGAAGGAUUUAAAGAGAAAAACAGGCUUUGUAAUGGGCGAAUGGUGUACUAAACUUCUGUGUAUGCGCGUGAUUUCUUGUGACUCCACAAAUGAGUUACCAGAUAAUAUUGGCAAUUGGAAGCAUCUUCGGUACCUUGAAAUCAACAAAGCUCGCCCUCUGAAGAAAAUCCCUUCAACUUUUUGUUGGCUUUAUCAUCUUCAAAUUUUAUAUGCCAAGAAUUGCAGGCUAGAAUGCUUGCCCGAUGACUUUGGUAAACUGAUUAGUUUGCAGAAGUUUGAAUCAGUUGGAUUAACAUAUUAUGAUGGGUGUCGCAUGUAUCUUGGUCCAGAUAACAAGUGGAGAAAGAUUACGUUAAUGAAGAAUCUGAACCAAUUCCGUGGGCACUUGGAGCUUAUUGAUGUGCACUUGCUAAGUAAAGAUCAUGCCGCAGAACUAAACCUGAAGAAUAAGAAAUAUCUUGAUGAGUUGAAACUGAAUAUGCGGGAGGAUCGUCCCACAGGUUUCCCUGAGUCUGAUAUUGAGUUUGAUAUCGACAACAAUGAUGUUGAAGUGCUUGAAGUUCUACAGCCUCCUAUCAGUCUCAAGUCUUUGUUCCUCCAAAACUAUGACGAUAGCUGGCUCCCAAGUUGGUUUCAACCACAUAACCUACCAAGAUUAACAUCACUUACUGUUGUACAUUGUUUUCAACUCGAGAGCAUAUCACCUCCUGCAUCACUUGAGAAAUUGGUGAUCAAUGAUUGUCCAAACCUAGUUUCAAUUGGUGGAGCAAAGGCACUUGCAAGAAUAAAGACCGUCGAGAUAUCCAUGUGUCCAAAGUUAAAGGAAGCGGAGCAGAUCAAUACAAUAUCCCACCUAAGGGACUGGAGGCACCGGAGAUAA
This 2652-nucleotide ribosomal RNA is filed under the name Triticum aestivum (bread wheat). Its description in RNAcentral is "partial small subunit ribosomal RNA". The record is from RNAcentral. Lineage: Eukaryota; Viridiplantae; Streptophyta; Magnoliopsida; Poales; Poaceae.